Molecule: ribosomal RNA, 292 nt
Filed under: uncultured bacterium
Lineage: Bacteria
Description: partial 16S ribosomal RNA
Rfam family: Bacterial small subunit ribosomal RNA
Source: RNAcentral
GUGUCAGCCGCCGCGGUAAUACGUAGGGGGCAAGCGUUGUCCGGAAUCAUUGGGCGUAAAGCGCGUGUAGGCGGCUGAGUAAGUCUGCUCUGAAAGCCCGGGGCUCAACCCCGGGAGGCGGGUGGAUACUGCUCAGCUCGAGUCCGGAAGAGGCGAGUGGAAUUCCUGGUGUAGCGGUGAAAUGCGCAGAUAUCAGGAGGAACACCAAUGGCGAAGGCAGCUCGCUGGGACGGUACUGACGCUGAGACGCGAAAGCGUGGGGAGCAAACAGGAUUAGAUACCCUCGUAGUCC